GGUAAAAUGGCUGAGAAAGCAUUAGACUGUAAAUCUAAGGACAGGGGUAGAGUCCCCUUUUUGCCAU
RNAcentral lists this transfer RNA (67 nucleotides) under Nothrotheriops shastensis (Shasta ground sloth). RNAcentral's name for it is "tRNA-Tyr". It matches the Rfam family "tRNA". Rfam says of the family: Transfer RNA (tRNA) molecules are approximately 80 nucleotides in length. Their secondary structure includes four short double-helical elements and three loops (D, anti-codon, and T loops). The record is from RNAcentral. Lineage: Eukaryota; Metazoa; Chordata; Mammalia; Pilosa; Megatheriidae.